This 422-nucleotide long non-coding RNA is filed under the name Homo sapiens (human). Its description in RNAcentral is "HSALNT0296394". Lineage: Eukaryota; Metazoa; Chordata; Mammalia; Primates; Hominidae. The record is from RNAcentral.
CACGAAGACAGUUUUAGGUGUCCCUGUGAUUUCAUCUCCAGCCAAUCGUUUCAGUUCUCCAGCCCCCUUCCUGCCAAAGUACCUAGGCUACUGAAAUAAAACUGGCGUCUGGGAAACCCGGAGGCCAGAGCAACUGGUCAGGCCCAGGCACUGGGGAAGGGCCACAUGACCACACAGUGAAAAGGUGGCUGCCUACAAGCUGAGAGAUGAGGCCUCGGAAUGAAACCUGCCUGGCUAGUGUUUUGAUCUUGGAUUUUCCUGCCUCCAGAACAGAAAAUAAAUUUCUGUUGUUUAAGUCCUGGUCUACGGAAUUUUGCUAUGUCCACUAAGGUCCUGCUAGUGCUGACCCUGAAAUGGGACCAGACUUGAGAAUCACCUGGGAGGAGGGCCAGGAUGCGGAUGGAAAUGGAAGUCCUGGAAAG